Molecule: long non-coding RNA, 561 nt
Filed under: Sorghum bicolor (sorghum)
Lineage: Eukaryota; Viridiplantae; Streptophyta; Magnoliopsida; Poales; Poaceae
Description: long non-coding RNA (SBIC_LNC018489)
Source: RNAcentral
GAACAACUGGGUUUUGAUUAGAUAAAGUUUAGCCUUCGCUACUUGCUUGUAAACGCGCGUGCUGAUCCAGCCGCCCGUCUUCUUGUUUCUGAAACCCCACUUCAUUAGAGAUUGAGUUUGAAACCUUCAUUUACAUCUAGUAUUUUAGUACUUGUUCUACUUGUUCUUGCUGGUUCUUCGAUUGCUUGCAGGACGAGUGCCCUAGUGGCCGGGUGUUGCGCUCCACAAGAUCGUGACAACCAUUGGAGGCGGUGUAUCGGUUGCUAAGGCGCGGCCUUAGAAGGCUGUAGUCGGGCCAUGAACGUCAUCUCCAUUCACUAAUCGAGUUAUCCAGCGCCUCUCAUCGAAAGAUCUGGCGAAAACCCUAGUGGGUUCACAUCAAUUGGUAAUCAGAGCAAGGUUUAUCGGUGAGAGAUUUCCAAUUCUUCGUGUUUGUUUUUCCUAUAGUCCAAAAAAAAGACAAAAAAUAUAGCAAAUUUGUUUUCCAUAAUCCUAUAAAUCCUUUGUGCCGUGGCUAGUACUACUUAGUUAGGGCUGGUUGAAUGAGUGUUUGCUUCGGUC